GAAUCUUGCGCAAUGGCCGAAAGGCUGACGCAGCGACGCCGCGUGCGGGAGGAAGCCCUUCGGGGUGUAAACCGCUGUCAGAGGGGGCGAAUGCCAGGGGGAGGGAAUGCCCUACUGGAGGGACGGUACCCUCAGAGGAAGCACCGGCUAACUCCGUGCCAGCAGCCGCGGUAAUACGGAGGGUGCGAGCGUUGUUCGGAAUUAUUGGGCGUAAAGCGCGCGUAGGCGGCCCGUUAAGUCUCAAGGUGAAACGCCGGGGCUCAACCCCGAAGCGAGCCGGGGAUACUGGGGGGCUGGAGACAGGCAGAGGCCAGCGGAAUUCCGGGUGUAGCGGUGGAAUGCGUAGAGAUCCGGAAGAACACCGGAGGCGAAGGCGGCUGGCUGGGCCUGAUCUGACGCUGAGGUGCGAAAGCGUGGGGAGCGAACAG
RNAcentral lists this ribosomal RNA (428 nucleotides) under uncultured bacterium. RNAcentral describes it as "bacterial SSU rRNA". It matches the Rfam family "Bacterial small subunit ribosomal RNA", at positions 359 to 775 of the family's 1533-position model. The record is from RNAcentral.